This 746-nucleotide ribosomal RNA is filed under the name Mixta gaviniae. RNAcentral's name for it is "bacterial SSU rRNA". It matches the Rfam family "Bacterial small subunit ribosomal RNA", at positions 11 to 746 of the family's 1533-position model. Lineage: Bacteria; Pseudomonadati; Pseudomonadota; Gammaproteobacteria; Enterobacterales; Erwiniaceae. The record is from RNAcentral.
GUUUGAUCCUGGCUCAGAUUGAACGCUGGCGGCAGGGCCUAACACAUGCAAGUGGCGGGUAGCACAGGAGAGCUUUGCUCUCGGGUGACGAGUGGCGGACGGGUGAGUAAUGUCUGGGAAACUGCCCGAUGGAGGGGGAUAACUACUGGAAACGGUAGCUAAUACCGCAUAACGUCGCAAGACCAAAGUGGGGGACCUUCGGGCCUCACACCAUCGGAUGUGCCCAGAUGGGAUUAGCUAGUAGGCGGGGUAAUGGCCCACCUAGGCGACGAUCCCUAGCUGGUCUGAGAGGAUGACCAGCCACACUGGAACUGAGACACGGUCCAGACUCCUACGGGAGGCAGCAGUGGGGAAUAUUGCACAAUGGGCGCAAGCCUGAUGCAGCCAUGCCGCGUGUAUGAAGAAGGCCUUCGGGUUGUAAAGUACUUUCAGCGGGGAGGAAGGCGAUGCGGUUAAUAACCGCGUCGAUUGACGUUACCCGCAGAAGAAGCACCGGCUAACUCCGUGCCAGCAGCCGCGGUAAUACGGAGGGUGCAAGCGUUAAUCGGAAUUACUGGGCGUAAAGCGCACGCAGGCGGUCUGUUAAGUCAGAUGUGAAAUCCCCGGGCUCAACCCGGGAACUGCAUUUGAAACUGGCAGGCUUGAGUCUCGUAGAGGGGGGUAGAAUUCCAGGUGUAGCGGUGAAAUGCGUAGAGAUCUGGAGGAAUACCGGUGGCGAAGGCGGCCCCCGAAGAGACGUCGAAAGU